UCUUAUUUGAGAUUCUAGAUGAAAAUAAGGAACGAUUGGAACAUGGGGGUUGAUCCCUGUACCUCCACAUUUUUGGCUUUCCAUCUCCCCAUUUUUUUUUUAUUUUUUUAAAUUUUUUUAUAUUACAAAUAUAACUUUUUUGUACUCUAUAAUUUACUUUUUUAACCCUCUUUUAUUUACUUAACCCUAGAUUUACUUUUCCAUUUUCAAUUUCACUCACUCUCUUACGGUAACACAACACCUCCACUCCCAUUUUCAAUUUCACUCCUCCCUCAGGCUAACACAACACCCCCACCCGUUUCCCUUCACUCUAAUUUUCAUUGUUUAAACUCUGAAUCCCAACUCCAGUCCUCUAUUCAUCUGUGCAUUUCGUGGUGGUGCGGCCUGGGUGUGCGGCGGUGCAGCGACAAUGGUGCUUCAUUUCUGGCGGUUGGUCUUCGAGAGGUUAGUUUUUGGUCUCUUUUUUCGCUUGAUAGAGAAGCUUUUGUUCGGUUUCUUCUUCGCGCAUGUAUGUUGUUGGUUUCUGC
Molecule: long non-coding RNA, 527 nt
Filed under: Vigna radiata
Lineage: Eukaryota; Viridiplantae; Streptophyta; Magnoliopsida; Fabales; Fabaceae
Description: long non-coding RNA (VRAD_LNC012416)
Source: RNAcentral